Molecule: ribosomal RNA, 558 nt
Filed under: Bacillus sp. C341
Lineage: Bacteria; Bacillati; Bacillota; Bacilli; Caryophanales; Bacillaceae
Description: bacterial SSU rRNA
Rfam family: Bacterial small subunit ribosomal RNA
Source: RNAcentral
GGAGCUUGCUCCCGGAUGUUAGCGGCGGACGGGUGAGUAACACGUGGGUAACCUGCCUGUAAGACUGGGAUAACUCCGGGAAACCGGAGCUAAUACCGGAUAGUUCCUUGAACCGCAUGGUUCAAGGAUGAAAGACGGUUUCGGCUGUCACUUACAGAUGGACCCGCGGCGCAUUAGCUAGUUGGUGAGGUAACGGCUCACCAAGGCGACGAUGCGUAGCCGACCUGAGAGGGUGAUCGGCCACACUGGGACUGAGACACGGCCCAGACUCCUACGGGAGGCAGCAGUAGGGAAUCUUCCGCAAUGGACGAAAGUCUGACGGAGCAACGCCGCGUGAGUGAUGAAGGUUUUCGGAUCGUAAAGCUCUGUUGUUAGGGAAGAACAAGUGCAAGAGUAACUGCUUGCACCUUGACGGUACCUAACCAGAAAGCCACGGCUAACUACGUGCCAGCAGCCGCGGUAAUACGUAGGUGGCAAGCGUUGUCCGGAAUUAUUGGGCGUAAAGGGCUCGCAGGCGGUUUCUUAAGUCUGAUGUGAAAGCCCCCGGCUCAACCGGGG